AGAAGAGUUCAGAGCUGAAUGUGCUGUUAAGAGGUGGGAUCUGGCUGGAAGAGGGAUCCACAGGAGGAAACUGCACAAACACAACAUGGCGCAUUUGAGUAGCUGCAUCCCCAGAAAGACCUGGUGAACACAGUGACAUACAUCAUGGAACUGGAAUUUCUUUCACUCUGGAGGAGUUAGGAUGUCUCUUUGCCACUUUACCAGGAUGCACAGAGGCAGGGCUGGGAAAGCUCUGGCUCUGCUGCUUUCAAAACUCCAAAGCCACAGGAGGAAAGAGGCAGACAUCUGAGCCAGCGUCUUGUCUGGAAAUAAUUAUGCUGCGCCAACGAAACUGGAAAUCUGCAGUGCACAGAAGCACAGCCCCAUCCGCGCAGGCCCAGAUAAAGGAACCAAGCAAGCUCCUUAUGCCGUGGACUGACUUCUCCAUUUCCCCAGAAUGUAAGAACCACCUCUUCACCCAAAGCCCACACCUUCAGUUAGAAGCCAGUCGUGUUAUUACUCUAUUAAGAAACAACAGGUUCGCGAGUAGAGAAGUUUCCAAGAAAAACUGCAAAUUUAUCCUUUAUUGAGAUGUUUUGGAUUUCAACUCUCAUAAUAUUAAAGCAAACCCUGAUUCUU
Long non-coding RNA from Heterocephalus glaber (naked mole-rat), 618 nucleotides. RefSeq lists it as uncharacterized. NCBI's taxonomy places the organism in Eukaryota, Metazoa, Chordata, Mammalia, Rodentia, Bathyergidae. The record is from RefSeq and is a predicted model, not a curated record.